GAUGAACGCUGGCGGCGUGCCUAAUACAUGCAAGUCGAGCGGACAGACGAGGAGCUUGCUCCUCUGACGUUAGCGGCGGACGGGUGAGUAACACGUGGAUAACCUACCUAUAAGACUGGGAUAACUUCGGGAAACCGGAGCUAAUACCGGAUAAUAUAUUGAACCGCAUGGUUCAAUAGUGAAAGACGGUUUUGCUGUCACUUAUAGAUGGAUCCGCGCCGCAUUAGCUAGUUGGUAAGGCAACGGCUUACCAAGGCAACGAUGCGUAGCCGACCUGAGAGGGUGAUCGGCCACACUGGAACUGAGACACGGUCCAGACUCCUACGGGAGGCAGCAGUAGGGAAUCUUCCGCAAUGGGCGAAAGCCUGACGGAGCAACGCCGCGUGAGUGAUGAAGGUCUUCGGAUCGUAAAACUCUGUUAUUAGGGAAGAACAAAUGUGUAAGUAACUAUGCACGUCUUGACGGUACCUAAUCAGAAAGCCACGGCUAACUACGUG
RNAcentral lists this ribosomal RNA (497 nucleotides) under uncultured bacterium. RNAcentral describes it as "partial 16S ribosomal RNA". It matches the Rfam family "Bacterial small subunit ribosomal RNA", at positions 28 to 507 of the family's 1533-position model. The record is from RNAcentral.